AUGAGAGACACAGAAAGAGAGAGAGAGAGAGAGGCAGAGACACAGGCAGAGGGAGAAGCAGGCUCCAUGCAGGGAGCCCAAUGUGGGACUCGAUCCUGGGUCUCCAGGAUCACACCCUGAGCUGAAGGCCGAUGCUCAACCACUGAGCCACCCAGGCGUCCCUUUACCAUGAUUUCUUGACAGAAAUGAAAAUACAGCAGAGGGGGAGGGUUUUAAGGGAUUGUCCAAUUCACAGCCCUCCAUGCACCCAGAGGAGAAGAAAAAGCCCUGGCUGAGGAGUCAUGGUCAGCUGGCCAAUAAAUGCAGGUCUCUGGUCUGAGUUCCUACAUAGGCAGCACGGGAGCAGGACAGAUAAGAUAUGUGCUUUCCAAAUCGUGCAGGUCCCGGACCCUCCCAUGGGGAGCAUAAUCAAUUUGGUGGAUCAUGACCAGUGUUCGCUAGAGGCUGUAAUUGGGAAGGAACAUAUCUGAAAAUACCAAAGCGCAUCUCAAUGUAGUAUAGUGAAAGUAUUCUUUCGUGCAACUUUUCUUUUGAAUCUAUUUGUUAUUUGUAAGUCUCUGUGUACUGGCUUUCUCUGUGUACAGAAUGCAGUUCUUAAAUAGGGCACUGAGAAAGCCAUAAAGGGCUGUGCAAUGCUCUGAAUGCUUAAGCUCCCCAAUAUUCAUAAGUGGAAAUCCUAACCCCCAAUGCGAUGGUAUUAAGAGGUGGGGCCUUUGGAAAGAGAUGAGAUAUUGACAGCAGGACGCUUAUGAACAGGAUUUGUGCCCUUAGAAAAAAGGGAGCUCGGAGGGCCUCCUCAUCCUCCUUCCACCAUGUGGGGAUACCAUGAGAAGUCAGCAGUCUGGAGCCAGCAAAGGGCCUCCAUGAAAACCCGAGGGUGCUGGUGCCCUGACCCCAGACUGCAGCCUCCAGGACUGUUAGAAAUAUACUGCUGUUGCUUAGAAGCCAUCCAGUCCAUGGUACUUUGUUACAGCAGGCUGAAGGAAGGCCGACUGAUACUUCUCCUUUACUUACAGCUCAAAUGUGACUGAGUAUCUGAAAAAGCCAUGUACAAAGACUGGUUUGGAAGAGCAGGUCCUCAGAGGCCAUGCUGUUCACAAGGCCACCAGCCUUGAAAGCUGCAGGGGCCAGGGUACAUCUGCUUCCAUGAGGGCUUGGAUGCAUGUGGGUGGGAAGGAUCCGGCCAGCAGGGUCUAGGGUCCUCUCCGGCCACCUCCACUGCCCCUGGCUGCAGGUGACAGAUGAGGGGAGGGCCAGAGGGGACUCAGGAUCCCGGGAAGGCUGUGGCUAGAAUCCAGCAGAGGAUUGAGAAGCUAGAUUAGGAAGCAAUCAAUAGAAAUAAUGAGAAGCAGACAGAUGGGGGGAUGUUCAGAAAGCAAAAAGCAACAGAAAUGCAGGAUGGAUGAGAUGCCGUGGGCUCAAGGAUGAUCCCUGAGUUUCUGUCUCAUGUGGCCUGGUGGUUAGUGGUGCCCACCAGAGAGCAAGGGAACCCUGCAAGAGGACCAGGUAUGCAGAGGAAAAAAAACCAUCUUCUGAUCUUAGACAUGUCAAUUGUGAGUUGCCUCUGAAUACCCAAGUACAAGCACAAUGGCAAUAAUACAACCUAGAGCUCACAGAGAGGCCCAGGUCAGAGAAACAAAGUUUAGAUUCACUUAUGUCUUCCCUUCUAAAUCUCUUCUUCCCAAACUACAUUUCGUGGUGCAAAGACAUGAAGCAGUGAAAAGAACGUGGGUUUUAAAAUCAGAAAAACCAUGACUAGAAUCUCAGGCACCACCUCUUAUAGGCUGCGUUCAUGAGCAUGUUAGAAUCUGAACAGGUUUCCAUUUCCUCUACCGUCAGGAGCAUGGUGAAGAUGAAUGAACAGCACUUCCGAAGUGCCUGGAAUACAGUAAGUUCUCGACCAAGUCAAGCCAGAUCACAUUUAGACCUUCGUACAUACCCCACAGCUCCUGGUAGGGUCCUAGCCAAGCGGUCCAUCAGUAUCUAGCAGGUUGAACUGACCUGAAAUACUCUGAAAACUGCCAGGACAUCACAGUCUCCUCUGCCUAGACAACCAUCAGCUCAUAAAAUCAUUCCUGUACUCAGUAUCCUGUGGGAGCAACACCCAAACAGAAGUUAUGCAAAGAGUCUUACCCUUCAUCACCUACACACCCAGGUCUACCUCAGUCCUGGGAGGACCUAUCGCUUAGCAGGACGAUGACCAUCAAGAGCUUUGGUGGAUCACCUCAAGUCCGAGAUACCCAAUCCAGUCAAUGAGUUUGUUCUCUUAUGAUCCAUACGGCUUUAAGAGAAGCCAGGACUGGUUUCAUUUCUCCCUUAGAAUUUCUGGAGAAGCAGGAAGAUGGCACCCUUCCCACACACCCGGGAAUCACCUGGAAAUGCUGAGUGUUUCCAGAGGUUUUAUACUUUGAGCAACAGAAUCAACACUUCCUGCCAAUAUUGAGGCGACAGGAGUAUCAUCUAGAAACCAACACUCAGAUUACUGAACUCCCCCUGAAUCUGAUUCAGCUGGCCUAGGGUACUGGAUGCAUAGUUUAAUAAGUUCUCAGGUGAUGCUGUUCAGGGGCCACACCUGAGAACCACUGUCCUGGCCUCCUCCCUGGGGUCGGGCUAGUGAUGUAGCCUACACUUAAAGAAAAGUCAGCUGAGACAAGGAACUUUCUACCUGAAGCAUCCCACGAUGUCACCACAACCUGUCUUUAAUUAUGAACUACGAAUGUUUAUAACUUAGGUCAUUUUAGGUUCCAUUUUAACAGUUGUGGAAUGUUCUGCUUCAUGCUUGAUAAGUUCUACUUAUUAGUUUGCUACCACUCAUUUUUGAAUAAACAAAAAGGAAUGGCUCUCCAAAUAGAGACUCUGCUUCAUACUCAUGACACAUACUCACCUAAGCAAGCACUGUUUCCUCCUCCUGCAGGACUCAGAUGUCAUUCUCACAGAGCUACCACAGCUAGCCUAGAAGAACUAUUUUUUUUAAUAUAUAUUUUAUUUAUUUAUUCAUGAGAGACACAGAGAGAGAGAGAGAGAGUGAGGACUAGCAGGCGGGAGGGGCAGAGGGAGAAGCAGACUCGUCACUGAGCAGGGGCCGGAUGCAGGACUGGAUCCCAGGACCCUGGGAUCAUGACCUGAGCUGAAGGCAAAUGCUUAGCCUACUGAGCCACCCAGGCACCCUCACAGCAUUGUUUUUUGUUUUGUUUUGUUUUGCUUUGUUUUUGCUGCUCUUGUUUCCUUACUUGAUCAAUAAAUGUUAUGACCAAAGAUCCAGAGAUCAGGAUUCGUGGGUGUGGUUGAAAAAGGAAAAGAAAGAAGAAAGUCUGUAUUAGAUGUUGAAAACCCACUACCCAAUAUAUUGACCCUACUGGAUCACUUGUGCCAGUCUGUCAAGCUAAGAAAUAGAUUUUUCUGGCUCUAACUAUAUCUGCCUCCUAAAUCCCUUUGCUCAGCAUCCCAGGAUGCCAAGGCUUAAGUACCACCUCUUUCUUACAAAAAAAUUUUUUUACAGUUCUGUCUUUCAUCCCAUGACUUUAGUUCCAAUUCAAGGUAAUUACACUUUCCAGGCUUCCGGUACUUGCAAGUCCAACUGAAGAACCACUUGAAAAAUACACACACCGGAUUUAGUGGAGCAAUACGUCCACUCAAUGCUUUACAGUUCAUCACAAUUUUACAAGUGACUUUCUAAAACCCUUAGAGAAAACAAGUCUCAAGAACUCACACACCCAAGAACUCCCCAAAACAUACUGCACAUCUGCUGUUUAUGCAGUCCCACUAACAACACAGAGGACUUUCUAUAGGAGGAACACACACUUCAGGCAGUUGCCCAUUCAAGGACAGGUUUUAACUUAAAAAUAAUGCCCACGCACUCACCACUGAGUAAACAUGGAACCAUGUCCUAAUUAUUACCCAUAUUUGAAAUCCACAUUACCCAAGAGUAACCCAGUCUGAGUAGGGUUCUUGUGUUUUCCUAUAUCACCAUCUCCUUGAUAUAUCUCUGGUGAAACUAGAGAGAAAUAGAUAUAAUUGAUAUAUAAUAGAUAUAAUUGAGCCUCAUCUUUUAUACAGGAACAGAACCUGGCUGCACAAAGUACUUCAUCAAUGGCAGCCAGCUGUUUACACUAUUUCAAAAAUUUCAUCAUGUUUAGUUUAGAGGGUUUUUUUUUUUUUUUAAGAAAAAUAUUAAAACAGAAGGCUAGGUUUGCUCCCUCUCUGACUCACCUGACAUUUAGCAUAGCCAUAAAGAAGCCCACAAAUGAACAGAUGAGCUACAUAAUGUACAAUUCUAACUGGGCAGUUUCUUAAAGAAAAGAGUCCUUCCAACUCCAGUUAAUAUAUUCGAUACAAAGAACACAUUCCUGCAACAAAUACAUUUAGGACUUGAUGUUUUACAGUGUAGCUAAUGAAGGUUCUAGCCAUAGUAAAAAAAAA
Molecule: long non-coding RNA, 4419 nt
Filed under: Canis lupus familiaris (dog)
Lineage: Eukaryota; Metazoa; Chordata; Mammalia; Carnivora; Canidae
Description: lncRNA (ENSCAFG00000059122.1, ENSCAFG00845001437.1)
Source: RNAcentral